RNAcentral lists this ribosomal RNA (246 nucleotides) under uncultured bacterium. RNAcentral's name for it is "partial 16S ribosomal RNA". It matches the Rfam family "Bacterial small subunit ribosomal RNA", at positions 524 to 769 of the family's 1533-position model. The record is from RNAcentral.
UACGUAGGGUGCGAGCGUUGUCCGGAAUUAUUGGCGUAAAGAGCUUGUAGGCGGUUUGUCGCGUCUGCUGUGAAAAUCCGGGGCUCAACCCCGGACUUGCAGUGGGUACGGGCAGACUAGAGUGUGGUAGGGGAGACGUGGAAUUCCUGGUGUAGCGGUGAAAUGCGCAGAUAUCAGGAGGAACACCGGUGGCGAAGGCGGGUCUCUGGGCCGUAACUGACGCUGAGGAGCGAAAGCGUGGGGAGC